UACAGAGGGUGCAAGCGUUAUUCGGAAUUAUUGGGCGUAAAGGGCGCGUAGGCGGCUUGGCAAGUGGAAGGUGAAAUCCCUCGGCUCAACUGAGGAACUGCCUUCCAGACUGCUUUGCUUGAGUCCGGGAGAGGUGAGUGGAAUUCCCAGUGUAGCGGUGAAAUGCGUAGAUAUUGGGAGGAACACCAGUGGCGAAGGCGGCUCACUGGACCGGAACUGACGCUGAGGCGCGAAAGCGUGGGGAGCAAACGGG
RNAcentral lists this ribosomal RNA (253 nucleotides) under uncultured bacterium. RNAcentral describes it as "partial 16S ribosomal RNA". It matches the Rfam family "Bacterial small subunit ribosomal RNA", at positions 524 to 776 of the family's 1533-position model. The record is from RNAcentral.